This is a long non-coding RNA of Mercenaria mercenaria, 2619 nucleotides long. RefSeq lists it as uncharacterized. The record is from RefSeq and is a predicted model, not a curated record. The transcript is spliced from 2 exons. Lineage: Eukaryota; Metazoa; Mollusca; Bivalvia; Venerida; Veneridae.
AACUGGUGCGGAGAAAAGUGGGUUAUUUUGUGUCGUUUCCAACCUGUUAGAGAAAACACAAAUUGACCAGGAAACAAGCGUAGUAAACGCAGUGCGUCAAAUCAAGUAUAGGCGACAUAUGUCAAUUCCAAAUAAAGACCAGUACAUUUUCUGUCACCAAUGCGUGAACGAAUAUCUUCGUACCUUUGAUAUCUACUCCAAUUUUGAACUCAAGACUUGAUGCCCAAGUUAUCAUCAACGCCGGAAAUAUUGAACAUGUAGCAUAACAUAUAGCUAAAAUCUAAUUAUGAGUAUGAGGAGCAUUAGCUUGUUACUUCCCUUGAAUUGUUGUAUUAUAAAGCGCAAGGAUAACCAAAUAUUACAUUGGUCCCUUUCAGUUGGAUUCCUCUGACAUUUUCGUUAUUACCUAUAUCCGAUGUUGCGGUUGGUCAAAAUAAAUAUGCAUUUUAUGAGUAUGUUUCUAAAUAAAAUGAUUAAUCCAACCUAAAUUUAACAGUGGACCACUAAGAGAAAACCUGUCCUUAAUCAUUUUCCAGUCAUAUGAAAUUUAGUAUAGAUAUUGCUUUUGAAAAUUACAAAGAAGUCAACGAUAAAAACCGAGGAAGGACCAAUCUACAUCUUGGACAUAAUCAGGGGAAGUAACUGACUAAUGUUCCCCAUUGGCUGUCUAAUUCUAAGUGGAAGCUCGACGUAAAUGCGAUAGGGUUUGACACAGCAUCGUUCCAAACCUUAGAAACAGCAUCAAGUAGAUAACUGUUACAGUAAUAUAUAUGCGUCUAGUUUUAAUUUAUUUGUAUAUUUAUUUUGUAUACAUUUUUGUAAAUACGCAAUUAAUAUUGUGCUCACCUUGUAUAUCCUUUAUUUUUUAUAAAUAUAAUACAAUGUGUUAUACUGUCGCUUCGUUGGAAAUGAAUAAGUGGUUUUGUUACUUUGAUAUUUGAUAUUGACUAUGGAAGUUCAGCUGCGCUAAAACAGGUCAAGAUUGACUGUGACCGUUUUUAGCUCUACUAUUCUUUGAUAUUGAACUCGCCCAUGCGUCGGCGUCGGCGUCCGCGUCCCGAUUUGUUUAAGUGUUUGUAUGUAAGCUGGUAUCUCAGUAACAACUUGUGGGAAUGGAUUGAAACUUCACACACUUAUUCACUGUGAUAAACUGACUUACAUUACACAGGUUCCAUAACUCUGUUUUGCUUUUUUACAAAAUUGUGCCCCUUUUUCGACUUAGAAAUUUUGGUUAAGGGUUUGUAUGUAAGCUGGUAUCUUAAGACCCACUAAUGGGAAUGGAUUGACAUAUUUGUUCACUGUCAUCAUCUGACAUGCAAAAAGUAGGUCCCAUAACGCUACUCUGUAUUUUUUUCAAAAUUAAGCCCCUUCUUUCACAUUGCAGUUUUUGGUUAAGUUUUUGUAUGUAAGCUGGUAUCUCAGUAUCCACUAAUGGGAAUGGAUUGAAACAUCACAACUUGUUCACUGACAUGAUCUGACAUGCACUGUACAUGUCCCAUAACUCUAUUUUGCAUAUUUCAAAAUUAUGCCCCUUUUUCGACUUAGCAGUUUUUGGUCAAGUUUUUGUAUGUAAGCUGGUAUCUCAGUAUCCACUAAUGGGAAAGAAUUGAAACUUCACACACUUGUUCACAGUCAUGAUAUAUCAUGCAAUGCAAAGGUUCAAUAAUUCUACUUCGCAUUUUUACAAAGUUAUGCCCCUUUUUUUAACUUAGCAGUUUUUGCUUAGAUUCUUAUAUGUAAGCUGGUAUCUCAGUACCCACUAAUGGGAAUGGAUUGAAACUUCACACACAUUUUCACUAUCAUAAGCUGAUAAGCACUGUGCAGGUUUCAUAACUCUGUUUCCCAUUUUUACAAAAGUAUGCCCAAUUUUUGACUUUAAUUUGUAUUCAUUCAGUUAACAAGGCUGUUGAAUAAUCGAGCGUUUUUCUUUUCCUUUUCUUUAGAACUUGAAUGGGAAUGAAUAUUCGAUCUAGUGAUAGGCUUCAAACAUUAAUUAUUUCCCUUGACGUAGUUACACACUACUGGCGCAUAUACAACGUAAAAUGUUGUGUCAGGGAUGAAUAAAAAUGUAGGCGAUAAAAAUCUUCAUCUUAAACUGUAGCCUGUUAAAGUAAAACGGUUUAGUCCGUUAUGCAACAAGCUAAGGAAGCGACACAGUCUGGUUGCUCAAGGAAUGUAGUUGCUUAAAACAGAUGGCCGCUAAGACAAGUUCAACUUGAACAUUUGUUAUGUGGUAGAACGAGGCUUGUGUUAUUGCGAAUAUGUACGCCCAAGACCUUAAAAUGACUUUUGAUCCUUUUAUAAAAAGAAGAAACUUGCGGUGUGUUAAUGAAACAAUAAUGUAAAUUAUAUCAUUUUGAGACCAACUAAUGCUUAUUAACUUUGUUUACUACUUAUAUAUUAUUUAACAACUACAAAAACUAUGGGAAAUCACUGAACAAAAUUGUCUUGCACUAUGAUAUCAAUGAUAGUGUUAUCUUAUUUGUUAAAUGUACCUUUACGUGUAUAUAGAAGAUUUUCCAUGACACUUAAAUUUUCUAUUUAUAAUUUUGCUUAAAAUUUGCAAACAUUUGUUAAAUUUCCAAUAUUUACUAAAUUCAUUAAACUUAAAACUAUAGA